CGGCGAGUGAAGCGGGAACAGCUCAAGCUUGAAAUCUCCGUUCGUUAGAACGGCGAAUUGUAGCCUCGAGAAGUGUUUUCAAGCCGGAUGGGUCUUGCUCAAGUUGCUAGGAACAGCACAUCGUAGAGGGUGACAAUCCCGUACGCGGCAAGACCUACCGGUCGCGAUGCGCUUUCCAUGAGUCGGGUUGCUUGGGAAUGCAGCCCAAAAUGGGAGGUAAACUCCUUCUAAAGCUAAAUAUUGGCACGAGACCGAUAGCGAACAAGUACCGUGAGGGAAAGAUGAAAAGCACUUUGAAAAGAAAGUUAAUAGUACGUGAAACCGUUGGAAGGGAAGCGCAUGGAAUUAGCAAUGCACUGCAGAGAUUCAGACGAGUGACGGAGAUGCGCUGCGUUGUGUGGAUCCGAAUGGACCGCCUGCGUUCGUCUUCUUUGUCGUCCGCCGCAUUUCUCUGUGGUGUGCGUCAACAUCUGUUGGAACCCAACGACAAGCCUCGCAAGAAGGUGGCCGACCUCGGUUGGUGUUAUAGCUUGUGGUGUGCGAGUUGGGGUCCGACAGAGGAGUCGCGGCACAUGCUCUCUUUUGGGCUGGCCUCUCCUCUCUCAGUCGGUCGUCGACCAUAACGGACUGCUUGCAGUGCGAUUGAACUGCUGCUGGCUGUCGGGGGAUGAGUGCACACACUGUGCCAAGGUUGUUGGCGGUCAUAUGAUUUCAUACGACCCGUCUUGAAACACGGACCAAGGAGUCUGACAUGUGUGCGAGUCUUAGGGUGAUUGAAACCCGCAGGCGCAAUGAAAGUAAAGGCUGCUUCUGUAGCUGAAGUGAGAUCUCUCUUCCACGGGAGGGAGCGCAUCAUUGACCGACCUAUUCUACUCCUAGAAAGGUUUGAGUAAGAGCAUAUCUGUUGGGACCCGAAAGAUGGUGAACUAUGCUUGAGUAGGGCGAAGCCAGAGGAAACUCUGGUGGAGGCUCGUAGCGAUUCUGACGUGCAAAUCGAUCGUCAAACUUGGGUAUAGGGGCGAAAGACUAAUCGAACCAUCUAGUAGCUGGUUCCCUCCGAAGUUUCCCUUAGGAUAGCUGGAACUCGGAACAGUUUUAUCAGGUAAAGCGAAUGAUUAGAGGUCUUAGGGUUGAAACAACCUUAACCUAUUCUCAAACUUUAAAUUGGUAAGAAGCCCAACUUGCUUAAUUGAAGUAGGGCACAGAAUGAGAGUUCUUAGUGGGCCAUUUUUGGUAAGCAGAACUGGCGAUGCGGGAUGAACCGAACGCUGAGUUAAGGCGCCUAAAUCGACGCUCAUCAGACCCCACAAAAGGUGUUGGUUGAUCUAGACAGCAGGACGGUGGCCAUGGAAGUCGGAAUCCGCUAAGGAGUGUGUAACAACACACCUGCCGAAUCAACUAGCCCUGAAAAUGGAUGGCGCUCAAGCGUCGUGCCUAUACUCGGCCGUCAGAGUAAAUAGCGAAGCUCUGACGAGUAGGAGGGCGUGGGGGUCGUGGCGAAGCCUUUGGCGUGAGCCUGGGUGGAACGGCCUCUAGUGCAGAUCUUGGUGGUAGUAGCAAAUAUUCAAAUGAGAACUUUGAAGACCGAAGUGGAGAAAGGUUCCAUGUGAACAGCAGUUGGACAUGGGUUAGUCGAUCCUAAGAGAUAGGGAAACUCCGUUUCAAAGUGCCCAAUCCUGGGCCGUUUAUCGAAAGGGAAUCGGGUUAAUAUUCCCGAACCGGAACGCGGAUAUUCUAGCUUUGGUUAGAUUUGCGGUAACGCAACUGAACUCGGAGACGUCGGCAGGAGCCCUGGGAAGAGUUCUCUUUUCUUGUUAACGACCUGAAACCAUGGAAUCUGAUUAUCAGGAGAUAUGGUCCAAUGGUCGGUAAAGCACCACACUUCUUGUGGUGUCCGGUGCGCUCCUGAAGGCCCUUGAAAAUCCGAGGGAAAGAUUGAUUUUCGUGUCCGUUCGUACUCAUAACCGCAGCAGGUCUCCUAGGUGAGCAGCCU
Molecule: ribosomal RNA, 1993 nt
Filed under: Pennaria disticha
Lineage: Eukaryota; Metazoa; Cnidaria; Hydrozoa; Anthoathecata; Pennariidae
Description: eukaryotic LSU rRNA
Rfam family: Eukaryotic large subunit ribosomal RNA
Source: RNAcentral